RNAcentral lists this ribosomal RNA (497 nucleotides) under uncultured bacterium. RNAcentral's name for it is "partial 16S ribosomal RNA". It matches the Rfam family "Bacterial small subunit ribosomal RNA", at positions 28 to 507 of the family's 1533-position model. The record is from RNAcentral.
GAUGAACGCUGGCGGCGUGCCUAAUACAUGCAAGUCGAGCGAACAGACGAGGAGCUUGCUCCUCUGACGUUAGCGGCGGACGGGUGAGUAACACGUGGAUAACCUACCUAUAAGACUGGGAUAACUUCGGGAAACCGGAGCUAAUACCGGAUAAUAUAUUGAACCGCAUGGUUCAAUAGUGAAAGACGGUUUUGCUGUCACUUAUAGAUGGAUCCGCGCCGCAUUAGCUAGUUGGUAAGGUAACGGCUUACCAAGGCAACGAUGCGUAGCCGACCUGAGAGGGAGGUCGGCCACACUGGAACUGAGGCACGGUCCAGACUCCUACGGGAGGCAGCAGUAGGGAAUCUUCCGCAAUGGGCGAAAGCCUGACGGAGCAACGCCGCGUGAGUGCUGAAGGUCUUCGGAUCGUAAAACUCUGUUAUUAGGGAAGAACAAAUGUGUAAGUAACUAUACACGUCUUGACGGUACCUAAUCAGAAAGCCACGGCUAACUACGUG